GCCAGCCUCUCCUUCCCUCGUUUUCACCACCACCAACCGGAGCCCGCAACCACGAUCCAAAUCCUCACCGCGCAGCCGCACGCCCAAGGCCCCGAGCUCCUCCCACUCGAUCCUUCCCGAGCUCCUCCAUGCCGUGCUCCUUCCCCGAGCCCUGCACCUCCCCUGAAGUUCGCUUGCCGUCGUCCCCGGUAUGUCCAUGCAGGAGCCGCAAGGAGGAAGCUGCCAUCACCAAGUUCUUGCCAUGCGCGCCUGGAUCCGCCAUCCCUGGCUCCUCCGCACUUGAUUCCCGCUGUUCCUGAGUCCCGUCGCCCCGCCAAGUACCUCGCCGGAGAACCACAUGUCCGCUCGUUCCCCUGCUUAGAACAUCAGAACGCGGUACCGUGCCUGCCUCCCUUGCCACCCUGAACCGCCCGAGCUCGUGGAUGCCCGGCGCCCGAGGCCUCCUGCCUCCCUGAUGCUCGUCGCCGAGCACCAGUGCUCCAAACCCGGCCCUUCUGCAGCUCGCCAGAGUUGAGACAUCGUCGUCCUAUUCGACUCCCACCAUCAGGAACCAUCUCCCCUUGUCAGAUCCGGUGGAUCCCCGCGCCCGUUCCCGACCACCUUCGCUCUGGACCCGUCCUCUCUGCCUCGUCGUCGCCGGAGUCCAAGCUGCCCCGCUGCAUCCUCUGCUUCCCCUGCUCACUGCGACCUGAAGCUACGCGCCUGCAUCGA
Long non-coding RNA from Triticum dicoccoides, 711 nucleotides. RefSeq lists it as uncharacterized. Lineage: Eukaryota; Viridiplantae; Streptophyta; Magnoliopsida; Poales; Poaceae. The record is from RefSeq and is a predicted model, not a curated record. The transcript has 3 exons.